CGGCGUGCCUAAUACAUGCAAGUCGAGCGAACGGACGAGAAGCUUGCUUCUCUGAUGUUAGCGGCGGACGGGUGAGUAACACGUGGAUAACCUACCUAUAAGACUGGGAUAACUUCGGGAAACCGGAGCUAAUACCGGAUAAUAUUUUGAACCGCAUGGUUCAAAAGUGAAAGACGGUCUUGCUGUCACUUAUAGAUGGAUCCGCGCUGCAUUAGCUAGUUGGUAAGGUAACGGCUUACCAAGGCAACGAUGCAUAGCCGACCUGAGAGGGUGAUCGGCCACACUGGAACUGAGACACGGUCCAGACUCCUACGGGAGGCAGCAGUAGGGAAUCUUCCGCAAUGGGCGAAAGCCUGACGGAGCAACGCCGCGUGAGUGAUGAAGG
RNAcentral lists this ribosomal RNA (385 nucleotides) under uncultured bacterium. RNAcentral describes it as "bacterial SSU rRNA". It matches the Rfam family "Bacterial small subunit ribosomal RNA", at positions 40 to 414 of the family's 1533-position model. The record is from RNAcentral.